Molecule: ribosomal RNA, 492 nt
Filed under: uncultured bacterium
Lineage: Bacteria
Description: partial 16S ribosomal RNA
Rfam family: Bacterial small subunit ribosomal RNA
Source: RNAcentral
AGUGAACGCUGGCGGUAGGCCUAACACAUGCAAGUCGAACGGCAGCACAGUAAGAGCUUGCUCUUACGGGUGGCGAGUGGCGGACGGGUGAGGAAUACAUCGGAAUCUACUUUUUCGUGGGGGAUAACGUAGGGAAACUUACGCUAAUACCGCAUACGACCUACGGGUGAAAGCAGGGGAUCUUCGGACCUUGCGCGAUUGAAUGAGCCGAUGCCGGAUUAGCUAGUUGGCGGGGUAAAGGCCCACCAAGGCGACGAUCCGUAGCUGGUCUGAGAGGAUGAUCAGCCACACUGGAACUGAGACACGGUCCAGACUCCUACGGGAGGCAGCAGUGGGGAAUAUUGGACAAUGGGCGAAAGCCUGAUCCAGCCAUACCGCGUGGGUGAAGAAGGCCUUCGGGUUGUAAAGCCCUUUUGUUGGGAAAGAAAAGCAGCAGGUUAAUACCCCGCUGUUCUGACGGUACCCAAAGAAUAAGCACCGGCUAACUUCGUG